AGAGUUUGAUCAUGGCUCAGGACGAACGCUGGCGGCGUGCCUAAUACAUGCAAGUAGAGCGCUGAAGGAGGAGCUUGCUUCUCUGGAUGAGUUGCGAACGGGUGAGUAACGCGUAGGUAACCUGCCUGGUAGCGGGGGAUAACUAUUGGAAACGAUAGCUAAUACCGCAUAAGAGUAGAUGUUGCAUGACAUUUACUUAAAAGGUGCAAUUGCAUCACUACCAGAUGGACCUGCGUUGUAUUAGCUAGUUGGUGGGGUAACGGCUCACCAAGGCGACGAUACAUAGCCGACCUGAGAGGGUGAUCGGCCACACUGGGACUGAGACACGGCCCAGACUCCUACGGGAGGCAGCAGUAGGGAAUCUUCGGCAAUGGACGGAAGUCUGACCGAGCAACGCCGCGUGAGUGAAGAAGGUUUUCGGAUCGUAAAGCUCUGUUGUAAGAGAAGAACGAGUGUGAGAGUGGAAAGUUCACACUGUGACGGUAUCUUACCAGAAAGGGACGGCUAACUACGUGCCAGCAGCCGCGGUAAUACGUAGGUCCCGAGCGUUGUCCGGAUUUAUUGGGCGU
RNAcentral lists this ribosomal RNA (569 nucleotides) under uncultured bacterium. RNAcentral's name for it is "bacterial SSU rRNA". It matches the Rfam family "Bacterial small subunit ribosomal RNA", at positions 8 to 561 of the family's 1533-position model. The record is from RNAcentral.